This is a non-coding RNA of Labrus bergylta (ballan wrasse), 982 nucleotides long. The record is from RefSeq and is a predicted model, not a curated record. NCBI's taxonomy places the organism in Eukaryota, Metazoa, Chordata, Actinopteri, Labriformes, Labridae.
CAAAUCAGGUCUCCCACAAAGAGAAGGCGAGCUCAUUGCUCUGUUUACUCUCCAAAGGACGAGACCUGUUCCACCUUUCUUUGUCGAGUGCGUCCACAUCAGGCCUGCAGCUCCUCCUGCUUCUGCUAAUGGAUCCAGACUGAUCCCGGGGAGCCGGGCUGAGGAGGUGGAGGGGCCAGGAGGAAAACUUGGGGGCCCCGACGUCUGUGACCCUCAGGGUUGGCGAGGUCGGCUGGAGAGGAAGCGCGGAGCAGCAGGGGAAGUGGGAGCACCUGUGCAGCUACUCUUGCCUGUAAACAUGGAGCUGCUGCUGCUGUGACUGAGAGUGUCAACAUUAUAACCUCUUCACACUGUCCAUCACGUGUCUACUGAAGCCCUCCCUCCUGCUCGCCCAUCAACACGCCAACAGACAGUCGCACAAUCCUCCGAUGCCUCUUCCUUUUGAUAUGGUAUGUCUCAUGCUGCAGCUGGAGUCCCAUCCAUCCUAAUUACAUGCCCAGUGAGGAUUACAGGAUUACCGACAGCUCGAGAGGGUGCUGGAAAGCUGAAGAUGACACCCCGAGCUCAUCAGAACCCUGCUGGCUUUUCACCCCCGAGAGCCGCCCUGAGCGCCAGGCGGAGCACGCUGCACUGCAGAUACCUGCCCCCCCCCCUUCCUCCCCCCUCUUUCCCCUCCCUGCUGAGUAGCCUGUAGCCCCAGAGAGAGGCUAAACCAGGGGGGAUGAGGCUUGGGGUGGGGCUGGAGGAGGCUGGAUGAAGGGAUUUGAAGGUGGGGUUACAGCUGUGGAAGGGAGCAGAACAAGGGAAUAGAUGAAGGAAGGAAGGAGGAGGGGGUUUUGGAAUGGAGGAAGGAGCGAGGUAAUGCUGGAAGAGUUGGGGUUGGGUCGGGGUUGUGUAAGCAAAUCUGAGUCAAUUCAUCAUGUUAUAACCAAGCAUAGAACUGGGGAUAUAUUCAGUUUUCACAUUUUGUAUUCUUGCGUUG